RNAcentral lists this long non-coding RNA (222 nucleotides) under Nicotiana benthamiana. Its description in RNAcentral is "long non-coding RNA (NBEN_LNC015508)". The record is from RNAcentral. Lineage: Eukaryota; Viridiplantae; Streptophyta; Magnoliopsida; Solanales; Solanaceae.
CAUUUUUUGGAUGUUUACGGCCAUAAAAUUGGAAAUGCGUGCGAGUCCCAAAUUUUCAUGUGUUAUAGCCCACGCCUUCUGCCGUGACCCCGGGCCCCCAGACCUGAAUCGUCUAAACUUUUUCUUGGACAUCCAAUACGGCCAAAAGAUCCAUAGUCAUUGCCCCGCCAUGAACAAAUUACAUUUUUUGGAUGUUUACGGCCAUAAAAUUGGACAUCCGCG